RNAcentral lists this ribosomal RNA (433 nucleotides) under uncultured bacterium. RNAcentral describes it as "partial 16S ribosomal RNA". It matches the Rfam family "Bacterial small subunit ribosomal RNA", at positions 29 to 507 of the family's 1533-position model. The record is from RNAcentral.
AGCGAACGCUGGCGGCAGGCUUAACACAUGCAAGUCGAGCGGGCCCUUCGGGGUCAGCGGCAGACGGGUGAGUAACGCGUGGGAACGUGCCCUUCGGUUCGGCAUAACUCAGGGAAACUUGAGCUAAUACCGGAUACGCCCUUAUGGGGAAUGGUUUACUGCCGAAGGAUCGGCCCGCGUAUGAUUCGGUAGUUGGUGAGGUUAUGGCUCACCAAGGCGACGAUCAGUAGCUGGUCUGAGAGGAUGAUCAGCCACACUGGGACUGAGACACGGCCCAGACUCCUACGGGAGGCAGCAGUGGGGAAUAUUGGACAAUGGGGGCAACCCUGAUCCAGCCAUGCCGCGUGAGUGAUGACGGCCUUAGGGUUGUAAAGCUCUUUUCUCCGGGACGAUAAUGACGGUACCGGAGGAAUAAGCCCCGGCUAACUUCGUG